GAUGUACAAGGUGAGAUAUAAUUCUACAUUGUUAUUAAGAAUUUAGAGUUGGAUUAUUAUUACUCUAUUGAUGGGACUACAUAGAAUGUUAAGAUGCGUUACCUAGACAUUUGAUGGUGAAUAGAAGUUAUGAGGUUGUAGUAUACAGAAUAAUUUGAGUGACCAAGAAUUUUCCUAAGUGUUGGCAUGAGGUAUGUGAUGGUUUAGAAUGGUAGCUAAAGCAUGGUAUGUGGAAGUGGUGUGAAGUUGACUUUGG
Molecule: long non-coding RNA, 256 nt
Filed under: Solanum tuberosum (potato)
Lineage: Eukaryota; Viridiplantae; Streptophyta; Magnoliopsida; Solanales; Solanaceae
Description: long non-coding RNA (STUB_LNC007987)
Source: RNAcentral